GAAAUGCGAUAAGUAAUGUGAAUUGCAGAAUUCCGUGAAUCAUCGAAUCUUUGAACGCACAUUGCGCCCUCUGGUAUUCCGGGGGGCAUGCCUGUCCGAGCGUCAUUGCGAACCCCUCAAGCACGGCUUGUGUGAUGGGCCCUCCCGCGUCUUGGUCGUCAAGACGGGCCCGAAAUGCAGUGGCGGCUUCGCGGUUAUCCGAUCAGCCAGAGCGUAUGGGGACUUUCUCUCUGUCACACGCCCGCGGCGCGGACCGACGCCUGUUGACCUUCAUUCAUCGUUUUCUCGGUUGACCUCGGAUCAGGUAGGGAUACCCGCUGAACUUAAGC
This 329-nucleotide unclassified non-coding RNA is filed under the name plant metagenome. Its description in RNAcentral is "partial contains 5.8S ribosomal RNA, internal transcribed spacer 2, and large subunit ribosomal RNA". The stretch from base 1 to 105 matches the Rfam family "5.8S ribosomal RNA", at positions 50 to 154 of the family's 154-position model. The record is from RNAcentral.